Molecule: long non-coding RNA, 1458 nt
Filed under: Pan troglodytes (chimpanzee)
Lineage: Eukaryota; Metazoa; Chordata; Mammalia; Primates; Hominidae
Description: long non-coding RNA NONPTRT003606
Source: RNAcentral
GAAAAGGUGAAUCCAACCCAAAUGUAAGACUGCUACUCAAUAGGACAGAAAAGGCAUGGAUGUCAGUGAGAUGGGAAAAAAAAUGUGUGCCAAAGGAGAUCAGGAAGGACUGAAUAGAAGACAUGGCCUUUGAAUUGAAGCCUUUAAUGAGGAAAGGGGAUUGACAUUGUAUGAGGGCCAGGGUGGAGAGCGGGUUGUGAAGAGGAUAGGGAAAAUGCAAGGACACUGCGGAUAUAAGAAUUAAUGGGAGAAUCAUGGGCCACAGAGCAGCAGGAUUAUAUUACACAGGUUGUAAGUAGUGUUUAUUGAAGCACAGGGUACUGGGGAGGUGGAGGAAAGAUGAAACUGUUAAGGAAUUUAGACACAGCAUGUAGUGGCUGGCAGGAAACAGAUGACACUCUCAAACAGGGUAGUUGAGGAGAGCUAAUAAAGGGACCAUUUACCAAGGUGUAGUUAGGAUUAAGAGAAAGCAAACUGGGAUGGUGCUGUGCUAUGGGCUAGCAACAGCAGGAAGUCAUUUCUGUCCCUAGGUCUGAAGAGGGAAGCAGGGGAGCCAACACCAAGGAACCAGAGAUCUUAGAGUCUGCAAGUCUGCAUGAUAGAAGCCAUGGCCUUUAGUAGAGGGAUCGUGCCUACUCUUAGCAGCCUGGCUUGGAGGGGCCUGGGGAAAUAAUACCCCAAUCUCUCUCCUCUUCUUCAAUAUUGAUGACUUCCAUUGGUUGAUAUCAAACUGGAAGUUGGAGAGAAAGGGAGUCUAUCUAUACAAGUCAGCACCCUGGAGCCCAGAAGAGAGUAUAAAGGGGGUAAAAAGCAGUUUCCGAGGGACAAACAGAAAACACCCAGCACAGAAGGAGGAACAAACAUUUGGAGGAACAAACAGAAAAUAUCAGAAAACAUUUUAAUCCUGGGUCCUGGGACGUCAUGGAAGGUUUUGAAGUUAGGAGCACCGCCAUCCUCUAGGGGGAGCUCAAGGAUUUCUCUCCACUCAUCCCCAAGGCGAUGCAUCAAAAGAUCAGGGCGAAACAGACUUCAAGGAAAGAGCCCUUGGCUAGAGGAAGAAGCCUGGAGAAGUAAAGGGAUUGCUCCUGGAAUUGAAAAUCUACCCUUUGCACUUCUAUUUACUGCAUUUGGAUUGAUUUGCAAGAAUAACCAUUAAAAUAAUCAAAGCUAAAAGUACAACAGAGUUAGUGUACUCACACCACCCUGUUCCUCCCACUGAAUGCGGCUAAAAAACCUGGGCAGAAUAAGUGGAGCAUCUGAGGACUCUGAAAAGUAAAUAAUAGCAGGCAGAUUGGAGAUGAAGACCAAAAUGAAAACCUUUCACUGGAGAACAGUCUUCCCCCACACUAUCCCAUAGAAAUACUGUUCACUAUAUCUGGUUCAGGAGGACUGACUCUCCCAACUCCUUUCUCCAGGAGUGGACACAUGAUCCAGGACUGGCCAGAAUUCUACAUCAAG